This 74-nucleotide transfer RNA is filed under the name Thermoprotei archaeon. RNAcentral describes it as "tRNA-Trp". It matches the Rfam family "tRNA". Rfam says of the family: Transfer RNA (tRNA) molecules are approximately 80 nucleotides in length. Lineage: Archaea; Thermoproteati; Thermoproteota; Thermoprotei. The record is from RNAcentral.
GGGCCCGUAGCCUAGCCAGGAAGGGCGUCGGGCUCCAGACCCGAAGGCCAGGGGUUCAAAUCCCCUCGGGCCCA